CAUGAAGCUGGAAUCGCUAGUAAUCGCGAAUCAGAAUGUCGCGGUGAAUACGUUCCCGGGUCUUGUACACACCGCCCGUCACACCAUGGGAGUCGGAAAUGCCCGAAGUCAGUGACCCAACCGCAAGGAGGGAGCUGCCGAAGGUGGAGCCGGUAACUGGGGUGAAGUCGUAACAAGGUAUC
Molecule: ribosomal RNA, 182 nt
Filed under: uncultured bacterium
Lineage: Bacteria
Description: partial 16S ribosomal RNA
Rfam family: Bacterial small subunit ribosomal RNA
Source: RNAcentral